Molecule: ribosomal RNA, 532 nt
Filed under: uncultured Trabulsiella sp.
Lineage: Bacteria; Pseudomonadati; Pseudomonadota; Gammaproteobacteria; Enterobacterales; Enterobacteriaceae
Description: bacterial SSU rRNA
Rfam family: Bacterial small subunit ribosomal RNA
Source: RNAcentral
GUGCCACAGCUGCGGUAAUACGGAGGGUGCAAGCGUUAAUCGGAAUUACUGGGCGUAAAGCGCACGCAGGCGGUCUGACAAGUCGGAUGUGAAAUCCCCGGGCUCAACCCGGGAACUGCAUUCGAAACUGUCAGGCUGGAGUCUUGUAGAGGGGGGUAGAAUUCCAGGUGUAGCGGUGAAAUGCGUAGAGAUCUGGAGGAAUACCGGUGGCGAAGGCGGCCCCCUGGACAAAGACUGACGCUCAGGUGCGAAAGCGUGGGGAGCAAACAGGAUUAGAUACCCUGGUAGUCCACGCUGUAAACGAUGUCGACUUGGAGGUUGUGCCCUUGAGGCGUGGCUUCCGGAGCUAACGCGUUAAGUCGACCGCCUGGGGAGUACGGCCGCAAGGUUAAAACUCAAAUGAAUUGACGGGGCCGCACAAGCGGUGGAGCAUGUGGUUAAUUCGAUGCAACGCGAAGAACCUUACCUGGUCUUGACAUCCACAGUAAGUUUUCAGAGAUGAGAACGUGCCUUCGGGAACUGUGAGACAGGU